Molecule: ribosomal RNA, 861 nt
Filed under: Phyllachora sp. XL-2018b
Lineage: Eukaryota; Fungi; Ascomycota; Sordariomycetes; Phyllachorales; Phyllachoraceae
Description: eukaryotic LSU rRNA
Rfam family: Eukaryotic large subunit ribosomal RNA
Source: RNAcentral
UAAGCAUAUCAAUAAGCGGAGGAAAAGAAACCAACAGGGAUUGCCUCAGUAACGGCGAGUGAAGCGGCAAAAGCUCAAAUUUGAAAUCUGCCCCCAGGCCGAGUUGUAAUUUGUAGAGGAUGCCUUGGGCGCGGUGCCUUCCGAGUCCCCUGGAACGGGGCGCCAUAGAGGGUGAGAGCCCCGUACGGUAGGACGCCAAGCCUGUGUGAGGCUCCUUCGAAGAGUCGAGUAGUUUGGGAAUGCUGCUCUAAAGGGGAGGUAAAUUCCUUCUAAAGCUAAACACCUGCCAGAGACCGAUAGCGCACAAGUAGAGUGAUCGAAAGAUGAAAAGCACUUUGAAAAGAGAGUCAAAUAGCACGUGAAAUUGUUGAAAGGGAAGCGCCUGUGACCAGACUUGGGCCGGGUGGAUCACCCGCCGUUGCGGCGGUGCACUCGGCUCGGCCCAGGCUAGCAUCGGUUCCCGCGGGGGGAUAAAAGCCGCAGGAACGUGACUCCUCCGGGAGUGUUAUAGCCCGCGACAGAAUAUCCCCUUGGGGACCGAGGACCGCGCGUUGCGAGGAUGCUGGCGUAAUGGUCGUCGGCGACCCGUCUUGAAACACGGACCAAGGAGUGCUGGCGCCCUGCAAGUGUAUGGGUGUAAAACCCACACGCGCAAUGAAGGUGAACGCAGGUGAGAGCUUCGGCGCAUCACCGACCGAUCCUGAUGUUCUCGGAUGGAUUUGAGUAGGAGCAGGGCGCCUGCGACCCGAAAGAUGGUGAACUAUGCUUGGAUAGGGUGAAGCCAGAGGAAACUCUGGUGGAGGCUCGCAGCGGUUCUGACGUGCAAAUCGAUCGUCAAAUCUGAGCAUGGGGGCGAAAGAC